AUUGAACGCUGGCGGCAUGCCUUACACAUGCAAGUCGAACGGCAGCGGGGGAGAAGCUUGCUUUUCCUGCCGGCGAGUGGCGAACGGGUGAGUAAUACAUCGGAACGUGCCCUGUAGUGGGGGAUAACUAGUCGAAAGAUUAGCUAAUACCGCAUACGACCUGAGGGUGAAAGUGGGGGACCGCAAGGCCUCAUGCUAUAGGAGCGGCCGAUGUCUGAUUAGCUAGUUGGUGGGGUAAAGGCCUACCAAGGCGACGAUCAGUAGCUGGUCUGGGAGGACGAUCAGCCAACCUGGGACUGAGACACGGCCCAGACUCCUACGGGAGGCAGCAGUGGGGAAUUUUGGACAAUGGGCGAAAGCCUGAUCCAGCAAUGCCGCGUGUGUGAAGAAGGCCUUCGGGUUGUAAAGCACCUUUGUCCGGAAAGAAAUGGCUCUGGUUAAUACCUGGGGUCGAUGACGGUACCGGAAGAAUAAGGACCGGCUAACUACGUGCCAGCAGCCGCCGUAA
RNAcentral lists this ribosomal RNA (508 nucleotides) under uncultured bacterium. RNAcentral describes it as "partial 16S ribosomal RNA". It matches the Rfam family "Bacterial small subunit ribosomal RNA", at positions 30 to 523 of the family's 1533-position model. The record is from RNAcentral.